This 354-nucleotide long non-coding RNA is filed under the name Elaeis guineensis (African oil palm). RNAcentral's name for it is "long non-coding RNA (EGUI_LNC079865)". The record is from RNAcentral. Lineage: Eukaryota; Viridiplantae; Streptophyta; Magnoliopsida; Arecales; Arecaceae.
UUGGUUCAUCUCUUGGAACCUUUGAUCUAGGAGAUCCUCUCGACUACGAGUCUCGAGGGUCUUUUGACAGAACGGAGGUAGGGACCCUUCGGGGGUGGAAUCGUGAUCAGACAGAGGGCUUUCCACCCUCUGCUUUCCCUUUUCGGAGAAGAUAGGGCGAUUGGCCCAAGUGGGCCACCCGAUCGUCGGAUUCUAAAACUCUGAUGAUGCUCUUUCCAGCCGCACAGAUGCCUGCGGCUGCUGCUGCAUGGUCUGCACUGCUUCGGUGAGGCCCCUGACUUGCUGAACCAGCUGGUCGAACUGCUUCAUACCGACUGCCGUUGUCGGAGGAGGAAGAGCCUGGAAAACUGGAGA